ACGGAGGAGGCAAGCGUUGUCCGGAAUCAUUGGGCGUAAAGAGCGCGUAGGCGGUUUUUCAAGUCAUAUGUGAAAACCUCAGGCUUAACUUGAGGAUUGCAUGUGAAACUGGAAAACUUGAGUGCAGUAGGGGAAAGUGGAAUUCCUGGUGUAGCGGUGAAAUGUGCAGAUAUCAGGAAGAACACCGGUAGCGAAGGCGGCUUUCUGGGCUGCUACUGACGCUGAGGCGCGAAAGCUAGGGGAGCAAACAGG
This 252-nucleotide ribosomal RNA is filed under the name uncultured bacterium. RNAcentral's name for it is "partial 16S ribosomal RNA". It matches the Rfam family "Bacterial small subunit ribosomal RNA", at positions 525 to 776 of the family's 1533-position model. The record is from RNAcentral.